Molecule: ribosomal RNA, 474 nt
Filed under: uncultured bacterium
Lineage: Bacteria
Description: bacterial SSU rRNA
Rfam family: Bacterial small subunit ribosomal RNA
Source: RNAcentral
AGAGUUUGAUCCUGGCUCAGAAUGAACGCUGGCGGCGUGCUUAACACAUGCAAGUCGAACGGUAACAGAAGAGCUUGCUCUUGCUGACGAGUGGCGCACGGGUGAGUAAUGCAUAGGUAACGUGCCCCUUAGUCUGGGAUAGCCACUGGAAACGGUGAUUAAUACUGGAUACUCCUUCUUUCUUAAUGAGAGUCGGGAAAUUUUUUAGCUAAGGGAUCGGCCUAUGUUGUAUCAGGUAGUUGGUGAGGUAAUGGCUCACCAAGCCUAUGACACAUAGCGGGUCUGAGAGGAUGAUCCGCCACACUGGUACUGAGACACGGACCAGACUCCUACGGGAGGCAGCAGUGGGGAAUAUUGCACAAUGGACGAAAGUCUGAUGCAGCAACGCCGCGUGGAGGAUGACACAUUUCGGUGCGUAAACUCCUUUUAUAUGAGAAGAUAAUGACGGUAUCAUAUGAAUAAGCACCGCUAACU